This 142-nucleotide small RNA is filed under the name bovine gut metagenome. Its description in RNAcentral is "ydaO/yuaA leader". It matches the Rfam family "c-di-AMP riboswitch aptamer (ydaO/yuaA leader)". Rfam says of the family: This family represents a conserved RNA structure found upstream of the ydaO and yuaA genes in Bacillus subtilis and related genes in other bacteria. The record is from RNAcentral. RNAcentral also lists the same sequence under 1 other name.
UAUGAACCGAAUCCAUUAGUGGAGCGGGGGAACCGUUGGGACUUUGUCCCUUAUUGGGGUGAAUGCCUCGUGUAUUAGAGGCUAGGGCAGUUCUUCUAUGUCCGAACCCGUCAGCUAACCUCGUAGGAAAAAAUGAGAGGAG